GAGUUCACCCAGGAACCAGACGCCCGCUGGACGUCAACUCGGCCGGACGCGGGGCACGGGCGCUAACAGGCUCCUAGGAGCCUCCCCGGGCGCCCCCCGCCCAGGGCGCGCUCUGCUCACCUGCAGGUUUCGGCGGCUCCGCGGUGACUAACAACAGCGGCAGCAGCAGCAGCAGCAGCAGAAGCGGUGGCGGCUGUGGCAGCCCCGGGCGCCCGCCCGGACCGCCGCGGGUCAUCGCUCCACGGCCGCGACCUUCCUCUGCGGGAUCAGGCGGCCGCGGUGGCCCGCGGUGGCAGAAGUUGCAAGAGAGGCUCCUGGCCUACUCAGGGGCGCCGCCUCUCCGAGGUGGGGCGUCCUCAACUUUCCUCUUUCUUGAGCCCGGCCUGCUCCGGGCUCUGAGGGGCGAGGACGCUUCACGUGGUGGCCUGGGGCCCACCCCGCCUAGGAAAGGCGGAUCCUUUACGUCUGACCCUCUAGCAACCCCUGGGCCGGUCUGGGAAAGUUCCCCAGCUGCACUUCUGGGAAAUGCAGAGGCUGCCUGCCGCUUUCUUUCGCAGUUUUGCGGCCCAAGGCUUGGGCGAAUCAGUUCACAUCAACACCCCUACUAGCCUCUCCCUCCGGGGUCGACCAUUUAUCUCCAGCAGCGGACCAGGCGCCCGGGCCAGGGUGACAUGCGCGCCCUGCCUACACGCAGCUCGGAUCCUCUGCUGUUUCUGGAGAGGCCUCCACAGUUGCCCUCUGCUGGAAAACAGCAUCUUUGUCCUCUGAGAAAAACAGUCUCCCUUCUUACGGAGGCCAGUGGAUUCCAUCCUAGAGGCUGUGUUGACCGUAUCUCCAAAUAGACAAUAACGAGGCAUCUUGAUUCCCACAACUCCAGCAGCACAGGGACCUGAAAUGAAGGACAGAAAGCAGGAAGUGGAGGCAAUAGAAAUUGCAGAGUAGAGUGAAGACAGGUGGCAUUUCUGGGAUUGGUGCCAUGACAAUGGAAGACAGAAGACAAGACAAAGGCAUAACUUUCCGCCUUGGAUAUUCAGGAAGAUGGGGAAGAUUUGGAGGUAUGCUGACUGCAACAAAGGAGGUGGGCUCUCCCGGAAAGAAAACAACCAAUCAACCACAAAGAUUUCUAACACUCAUUUGGAGAACCUCCAGAGUAUCCGGAGAAACCUUUUUAAUUGGUGCAAUGACAAAACUUGGAACCUUUGAAAAACAUUCCUUUGGUGUGGCUUGGAUUCCUAGGUACACGACUGGAGUGGUUGUUCUUGACAUGCCCUGUAUAAAGUGCAUAGUAUUUUGGAGGCUGCAUAGAUGCAAUGACAAAAUUGGAUAUUCUGCCAUAUUUGCAAUUCAUUGUACUGCUUAUAUCUGAAAAGUCACAUGAGUUUGGUGAUAUGGUUUGGCUCCGUGUCCCCACCCAAAUCUCAUGCUGAAUUGUAAUCCCCAAUGUUAAGGGAGGGACCUGGUGGGAGGUGAUGGGAUCAUGGGUGCAGAUUUCCCCAUUGCUGUUCCUGUGUUAGUGAGUUCUCAUGAGAUCUAGUUGUUUGAACGUGUGUGGCACCUCCCCCUUUGCUCUCUCUCUCUCUUCCUGCCAUGCGAAGAAGGUGCUUGCUUCCCCUUCACUCUUCCACCAUGGUUGUACAUUUCCUGAGGCCUCCCCAGCCAUGCUUCUUGAACACCCUGUGGAACUGUGAGUUAUUUAAACCUCCUUUCCUCAUAAAUUACCUAGUCUCGGGUAGUUCUUUAUAAUAGGGUGAGAAUGGACUAUUACACUUGGAAAAUAGUGUGUUAUCCAGAGAGAGAAACUCAUGUUGUAAAUAAACGAAGGAAGGGCUGGGAGUUAACAUGAUGAGCUUUGAUAACAGGUUGUUGCUGACAUAGAUAAAAUUAGUAUACAGAGUAGAUCUCUUAGAAAGUCUUCCCAGAAGAAAAAACUUCUGGCCAGGCACAGUGGCUCACACCUGUAAUCCCA
This is a long non-coding RNA of Homo sapiens (human), 1966 nucleotides long. Ensembl annotates it as PLBD1 antisense RNA 1. Its record names the gene PLBD1-AS1. The record is from Ensembl. NCBI's taxonomy places the organism in Eukaryota, Metazoa, Chordata, Mammalia, Primates, Hominidae.